AUUGAACGCCGGCGGAAUGCUUUACACAUGCAAGUCGAACGGCAGCACGGGAGCUUGCUCCUGGUGGCGAGUGGCGAACGGGUGAGUAAUGCAUCGGAACGUACCUAUUAGUGGGGGAUAACUAUCCGAAAGGAUAGCUAAUACCGCAUACGUCCUGAGGGAGAAAGCGGGGGAUCGCACGACCUCGCGCUAAUAGAGCGGACGAUGUUGGAUUAGCUAGUUGGGGGGGUAAAGGCCUACCAAGGCGACGAUCCAUAGCUGGUCUGAGAGGAUGAUCGGCCACACUGGGACUGAGACACGGCCCAGACUCCUACGGGAGGCAGCAGUGGGGAAGUUUGGACAAUGGGGGCAACCCUGAUCCAGCCAUUCCGCGUGAGUGAAGAAGGCCUCCGGGUUGUAAAGCUCUUUCGGCAGGAACGAAACGGUGGUGACUAAUACUAGCUACUAAUGACGGUACCUGAAGAAGAAGCACCGGCUAACUACGUGCCAGCCGCCGCAGUAA
This 502-nucleotide ribosomal RNA is filed under the name uncultured bacterium. RNAcentral describes it as "partial 16S ribosomal RNA". It matches the Rfam family "Bacterial small subunit ribosomal RNA", at positions 30 to 523 of the family's 1533-position model. The record is from RNAcentral.